UGAAAUGCGAAACGUAAUGCGAUUUGCACGAAUCUGUGAGUCAUCAAGUCUUUGAACGCACCUUGCACCAUAUGAGCAAUUGUAUGGUAUACCUGUUUGAGAAUCGUAAACCUCCUCACCUCUUUCUGGUGGAUGUGUCGGCUUAUAUCUAAUAUAUCCGAUUAAAUACAUUAGGUUUGGAUCAGGCUGGUGGCCUGGGACACUGUGUGCUAGAGACUAAGCAGUCUUAACCGACUGGUCUGUCUUCUCACGGUGCGUCUCGGGUCAUUUAAAGCUGGCCUGCAAAGGACCUUAACUGCGCAUAGCAUCACGCUAUGGCAACCUUUCUCUUUGAUCUCAAAUCAGGUAAGGCUACCCGCUGAACUUAA
Molecule: unclassified non-coding RNA, 368 nt
Filed under: uncultured fungus
Lineage: Eukaryota; Fungi
Description: sequence contains ITS1
Rfam family: 5.8S ribosomal RNA (bases 1-106)
Source: RNAcentral